AGGAGCACGCAGCUGCUGAUUGGCUAAAGGUAAUCCUAUGCCGCCCCUGAUUGGCUGUGGGGCGGACGCGCUCUCUGGGAGGCCCGCUGGCAGGACCCACAGUGACAGUUGGGCGUCCACACCGCCUUCGCUGCGCACAGGACACAGAGUGACUGACCCUACGGGGCCCGAGCUGUCUUGCUGGUGUCCCCGGCAUUCGUCGGGUGAGGGACCUGCCUUGGGGCUCCACACACUGGGCUUCCCGGAGAAUCAGGCUCCCCGUCAGGCGGGGACUCACUGGCCUCCCUGACCCGAGGCGGCCGAGCCCCUUGGUGGCGCAGAGCCCGGUUCCGCGUCCGUCGUGCGGCCACACCGCGGACCGUCGGUGGCUCACAGCAGCCGUCUGUGCUGCUCAGCCCGGCACCGCGCGGGGCGCCCGGCCAGCACGGAGGGCAGCGGGUCAUCCGCCCCGUGAGGGACCAGGCUGGGGAGCUGUGGCCUCACAGAGCUCACCUGCAAAAGCCUUGCCUCCUGUCUCAGGCGCAGUGAGAGGCCCACCCACCUGAGCUUGGCAGAAAACGCCUUGAAAGACGAAGGGGCCAGGCAUAUUCGGAACACCUUAGAACACUUGACGUGUCCUCUGCGGAGGCUGGUGUAAGUCCCAAGGUAUUUUCUUCUUGGAACUCACUGAAGCAGAGCAGGGGGAUUGAGAGAACCUGUCAUGCAUUCAUUUAUUAAGUGCCUGCUGCACGCUGGGCACUGUGCUGAUGUGGGGGUAGGGGCGGAGCAUAAUAAAGAGGAGGGCUGCUAUCACUUCCAUCCAGAGGCAGAUUAUCCACUGUCAGAGUCCUCCGCUGUGUGCCAGUGCCCCAGAGUGAGCUCACAGAGGGGCUGCAGGGCGAUUUCAAUUUAGGGAAUACUGACAUCUGUUCAUCACUGCAAGAACUUCUAGCUCGAGGUCAUUCGUUACAGCGUGAGAUUGUGGGCUAAUUCCUUUUAUAUGACAUCAUGUGUUUGCAAAGCUAGGUUUGCAGCCAUUGCUGUCAUGGGAGCAAGUGCAUCACGAUAUUUAAUGAGGAGCAAAGAUGAUGUAAAGAAAAGAAAAGUACUGAGAUGCUAAGAAGGGUGUGAACCGAGAAAGUCUGGAGACCUCUGAUGGAAUGUGCUCCCUGCCUCCUGGACAUCCGAGUGAGCGCCACGCCUCUGAGAUCAGAGUAAUGCACUGGGACCUGGCUUCCUGCUCUGAGAAGCAGGUCAUGUCGCUCACUCAACAGAAUGGACCAGAAAACACUAAAGAACAUCAGCUUGGGUAUUUAUCCCAACAUAUCAUGAAUUCUUCCAAUAGUUUCCUUCAAUUUCCUUGAAGUGUCAGGGUUCUUUUGUCCUUUAUUAAUGGGAAAUAAACUCAAGCUGUCUUAUGCUGUAAAGAAGUUUGCUGGCUCAGAAAACCACAGGGCAGAGGUAGAACAGCCUUUACGCUUGGUCCCCGGGACCUCUUCCAACAGGAGCACGUACAACAGGACGCCGCUACCAAGGGUCAAUGCCAGGGGUGCCUUCACAUUUGUCACAGUCACUCAGAAUUCAGAGUUUAGAAUGUGGCACUUUCCUUUUCAUGAUGUCAUGUCUUUGGGGAGAACCUCAGUGUUCCCAGGUGAGUGAGUGGAGGUCACAUGCCUGAGCCCUGAUGGGCGGGGACAAUGGCAUCUCUACCUUCGCCAUCCAAGACAGCCACAAAUCACAACUACAAAAGCAUCCAGCUUCAAGACGUGGGGUAUAGGCACAACUGGUAAUGGCAACUUAAUGCAACAAGUGCUUCGGGAGGGAAGCCACAAGGUGCUGUUGUAACAGGUGGAUGCCAAAGCUGGAAGGUGCCUGUUUACCUCCGCCUGCUGCGAGACUAUGGCCUCCACACUCCGCAGCAACAAAACCCUGAGCUCUCUGGUCUUGAGCAAGAAUGACAUUGGAGUCCACGGCAUACUGACCUUGUGUGGGGCCUUCUCGAGCCAAAAGCAGAGAGAAGAGGUCAUUUUGUAAGUCUCCGCUAGGUCCCUGUGCAAAAACGAUCACCCAAUAACAAAGGUCCUUCUAGAGAGUGGAAUGCUGGACCUAGAAUGCUGUUGAAGACGCUGCCACCGUAUGCUUUCAGUGCCUGCGGUGCGCAGGUGCCUUGCUGUGGCUGCUCCAACCCCAACUCCUGCCUUCAUCUGACAGAA
Molecule: non-coding RNA, 2192 nt
Organism: Microcebus murinus (gray mouse lemur)
Lineage: Eukaryota; Metazoa; Chordata; Mammalia; Primates; Cheirogaleidae
Source: RefSeq, a predicted model, not a curated record